UUCGCCCCCGAUACGACACCUCGGAUAUGACAUGCGCUCCCGCUAUAUAAAUCCUCGGUUCGAAUCGUAGGAUUUUAAACGGAUGCGGCUUUGGCGUUUGGCGUACGGGAAGGGCGCCGUCGGUGGCGGUCGAUCGCCCGGCAGACCGCGUCGCCGUCGGACAAAAGCAGCAGCGGGCCGGGGGAAUUGAACCUGGGGUCGCGAUAAGACAGCGACGCGCAUCCGGCGCCGCCCUACAUUAUCUAUUUAUCUGGCGCGGAUAGGAACCGCUCGACGACCCCUGCUUUGGAGAAUUUUUACGGCCCCGAUUCCUCUAUCCGCGAGAUAUAUGUCUGGUUCCAUUUUAUCUGCAGCACCAACGGGGCCCCUCUGUCUCUCUCUCGUCUUCCUAAUCCUACCUACUGCCUCCCUCCUGGUCCCCGUUAAUCAUGAUAGCUUCGUCCUUUUCCUUUUUUGGAUCAUAAAGAAGGAGUGCUGCGAAAUGCUUAGUGGUGGGAUUAUCGUGAUGAGUGUAAUUACCGGUCAGCUCAAACAUGCUUACAUCAUGAUGAGUGUAUUACGUUUGCAUAUCUAGCGCGCCCUCGAGGUCAAAACAACUCGGUCAACAUAAUACCACUGUCACAGCACGUCGCCUGCCGUUUGCCACGUACAUGUGAAGUGGAAGACGUGACGGCAUGGCUUCAUGCCCGAUGCGGUGAUGCUUCCGCCGUGCGUAAAACAUAAAGAAUGCCAGCAGAUCUUGACUUGACGCGUUCAUGGCUCAUGCGCCUCACCGGAACUUCAAGGAUACGCCUAUUUUAAAAGCUAAUCUCUGGUCAAGGGCUUAGGUAAGACCGGAUAUUCGGUGGUGAGGCUGCAUUUGCUGGGUGGCCAGUCCUCCGUUUUUGUAUCUUGCUUUGUCGGGCGUAAUAUCAUAUUGGGUUUUGAGGGAUCUGCAUGUGGAUCAUUGAUGUACACUGCUUACUUGCGAACGUGCACCUUAGAGAGAGAAGAUUCGGAGGGAGAGGAUGCAGAAGCGUUUGAUGCAGAUGGGCCGUACAUUUGUAUGGGAAUUCUCCAGCCCACCAAAUAAUCGGUUAUACCGGCCUACUUGGACUGUCCCUUUUCUAUUGGAAUUUUGUGGAUUUGAAUCCUUUUUUUUUUCUCAAGGACCAUUUUGAUUCAUAUCAUCGGGCAACCAAACUCCUAUGGUUCUAACUCCACGUUGAUGUGCACUAGGAUGUUGCGAUAAUUGAAGCAGAAACUCAAAGUCGAUUUUGAGGUGAUGAUCCGACUACAUCGCACACAAGACGAUGCGUUCUAGCAAUAAGGGUUGGAAAACACGGCAAACCUAAAACAUGAAGUUCUGAUCCCUGAGAACAAUUGAAGAAAGCAAGAACUGUGACUUAGCAAUCCGAAAUUGUGAACAUAGAUGAAGUAAUACUUAGAUAUUGGUGUUCCGAAGUGGGCUUCACAUUUGGUCACAAAGUCGUAACAAUUGCCUAACUCUUAACUAAACAAAACUCAAGUCUAAACCCUAGAGGCAGUGCCAAGGGCCA
Molecule: long non-coding RNA, 1538 nt
Filed under: Brachypodium distachyon (stiff brome)
Lineage: Eukaryota; Viridiplantae; Streptophyta; Magnoliopsida; Poales; Poaceae
Description: long non-coding RNA (BDIS_LNC002629)
Source: RNAcentral